AACGAACGCUGGCGGCAGGCCUAACACAUGCAAGUCGAACGCUCGUAGCAAUACGGGAGUGGCAGACGGGUGCGUAACGCGUGGGAACAUACCCUUUGGUUCGGAAUAACUCAGGGAAACUUGAGCUAAUACCGGAUACGCCCGAGAGGGGAAAGAUUUAUUGCCGAAGGAUUGGCCCGCGUCUGAUUAGCUAGUUGAUAGGGUAACGGCCUACCAAGGCGACGAUCAGUAGCUGGUCUGAGAGGAUGAUCAGCCACACUGGGACUGAGACACGGCCCAGACUCCUACGGGAGGCAGCAGUGGGAAUAUUGGACAAUGGGCGCAAGCCUGAACCAGCCAUGCCGCGUGAGUGAUGACGGCCUUAGGGUUGUAAAGCUCUUUUACCUGGGAAGAUAAUGACGGUACCAGGAGAAUAAGCCCCGGCUAACUUCGUGCCAGCAGCCGCGGUAAU
This 451-nucleotide ribosomal RNA is filed under the name uncultured bacterium. RNAcentral's name for it is "bacterial SSU rRNA". It matches the Rfam family "Bacterial small subunit ribosomal RNA", at positions 29 to 524 of the family's 1533-position model. The record is from RNAcentral.